UGCUAUUUCUGUGGAAGAGUUUGUCCCAUGAGAACCACUGUACUGGAUGUCACUUCUGUGCAGGAUGCAGCUGAUUCUUUUCUCUCCUAGUGGAUUUUGUUUUACAGAGGGAUCUUUGGUCCUGUGACUGAAAGGGCACACAGCCUGUUGCCCCCCGUUGCCUUAAACAAACAGAACUGUCUCCAGAAGGCUGUGCGCUCCUUUGUAAGAGG
RNAcentral lists this long non-coding RNA (212 nucleotides) under Homo sapiens (human). RNAcentral describes it as "HSALNT0242577". Lineage: Eukaryota; Metazoa; Chordata; Mammalia; Primates; Hominidae. The record is from RNAcentral.